GCUGGGUGUGGUAGUGGGCGCCUGUAAUCUCAGCUACUUGGGAGGCUGAGGCUGGAGGAUCACUUGAACCUAGGAGUUCUGGGCUGUAGUGUGCUAUGCUGAUCGGGUGUCUGCACAAGUUUCGGCAUCAAUAUGGUGACCUCUCUGGAGCAGGGGACCACCAGGUUGCCUAAGGAGGGGUGAACCGGCCCAGGUUAGAAAUGGAACAGGUCAAAACUCCCGUGCUGAUCAGUAGUGGGAUGGUGCCUGUGAAUAGCCACUGCACUCCAGCCUGGGCAACGUAGCCAGACCCCGUCUCUG
Molecule: unclassified non-coding RNA, 300 nt
Organism: Callithrix jacchus (white-tufted-ear marmoset)
Lineage: Eukaryota; Metazoa; Chordata; Mammalia; Primates; Cebidae
Rfam family: Metazoan signal recognition particle RNA
About the family: The signal recognition particle (SRP) is a universally conserved ribonucleoprotein. It is involved in the co-translational targeting of proteins to membranes. The eukaryotic SRP consists of a 300-nucleotide 7S RNA and six proteins: SRPs 72, 68, 54, 19, 14, and 9.
Source: Ensembl